RNAcentral lists this ribosomal RNA (254 nucleotides) under uncultured bacterium. Its description in RNAcentral is "partial 16S ribosomal RNA". It matches the Rfam family "Bacterial small subunit ribosomal RNA", at positions 524 to 776 of the family's 1533-position model. The record is from RNAcentral.
GACGAACUGUGCAAACGUUAUUCGGAAUCACUGGGCUUAAAGGGUGCGUAGGCGGUCUUGUAAGUAGGGUGUGAAAGCCCCCCGGCUCAACCGGGGAACUGCGUCCUAAACUGCGAGGCUUGAGUGAGGUAGGGGUGUGUGGAACUUCCAGUGGAGCGGUGAAAUGUGUUGAUAUUGGAAGGAACGCCGGUGGCGAAAGCGACACACUGGACCUUGUCUGACGCUGAGGCACGAAAGCCAGGGGAGCAAACGGG